This 479-nucleotide ribosomal RNA is filed under the name uncultured bacterium. RNAcentral's name for it is "bacterial SSU rRNA". It matches the Rfam family "Bacterial small subunit ribosomal RNA", at positions 8 to 507 of the family's 1533-position model. The record is from RNAcentral.
AGAGUUUGAUCAUGGCUCAGAUUGAACGCUGGCGGCAUGCCUUACACAUGCAAGUCGAACGGCAGCACGGGGGCAACCCUGGUGGCGAGUGGCGAACGGGUGAGUAACAUAUCGGAACAUACCCUAGAGUGGGGGAUAACGUAGCGAAAGUUACGCUAAUACCGCAUACGAUCUAAGGAUGAAAGUGGGGGAUCUUCGGACCUCAUGCUCAUGGAGUGGCCGAUAUCUGAUUAGCUAGUUGGUGAGGUAAAGGCUCACCAAGCCGACGAUCGGUAGCUGGUCUGAGAGGAUGAUCAGCCACACUGGGACUGAGAUACGGCCCAGACUCCUACGGGAGGCAGCAGUGGGGAAUAUUGGACAAUGGGGGCAACCCUGAUCCAGCAAUGCCGCGUGAGUGAUGAAGGCCUUAGGGUUGUAAAGCUCUUUUGCCAGGGAAGAUGAUGACUGUACCUGGAGAAUAAGCCCCGGCUAACUUCGUG